RNAcentral lists this long non-coding RNA (289 nucleotides) under Mytilus galloprovincialis (Mediterranean mussel). The record is from RNAcentral. Lineage: Eukaryota; Metazoa; Mollusca; Bivalvia; Mytilida; Mytilidae.
GGUGAAUAUGCAUAGCAUAUCAAUCGAUAAUUUUCGGGUAUUUUCUCUUUCAUUUCUGAAAGCAACUUUGAAAGAUUUGAAAGACAACACGGACUGUGGAGGGGAAAACAUUAGCGUUUCUUCUGAAUUAUACAACGACAAAGGAUACACAUGUCAUUGGUGUUAUAAAUAAAGAAGAAGAGUCUUUACAGUAACUGCUGUUCAGAUAUGCUCUACAUUUGAUAUAUACUGAUCCAAAUCACACCAUUCAAGAGUAAAAAAAAAGAAAUCGGUUAAUAUUUUACAAAAU